UACGGGGGGGGCAAGCGUUGUUCGGAAUUACUGGGCGUAAAGGGCUCGUAGGCGGCCAACUAAGUCAUACGUGAAAUCCCUCGGCUUAACCGGGGAACUGCGUCUGAUACUGGAUGGCUUGAGUUCGGGAGAGGGAUGCGGAAUUCCAGGUGUAGCGGUGAAAUGCGUAGAUAUCUGGAGGAACACCGAUGGCGAAGGCAGCCCCCUGGGCCAACACUGACGCUCAGGCACGAAAGCGUGGGGAGCAAACAGG
RNAcentral lists this ribosomal RNA (253 nucleotides) under uncultured bacterium. Its description in RNAcentral is "partial 16S ribosomal RNA". It matches the Rfam family "Bacterial small subunit ribosomal RNA", at positions 524 to 776 of the family's 1533-position model. The record is from RNAcentral.